UACAGAGGUCUCAAGCGUUGUUCGGAUUCAUUGGGCGUAAAGGGUGCGUAGGCGGCGCGGUAAGUCGGGUGUGAAAUCUCGGGGCUUAACUCCGAAACUGCAUUCGAUACUGCCGUGCUUGAGGACUGGAGAGGAGACUGGAAUUUACGGUGUAGCGGUGAAAUGCGUAGAUAUCAGGAGGAACACCGGUGGCGAAGGCGGCCCUCUGGACGGUGACUGACGCUGAGACGCGAAAGCGUGGGGAGCAAACAGG
Molecule: ribosomal RNA, 253 nt
Filed under: uncultured bacterium
Lineage: Bacteria
Description: partial 16S ribosomal RNA
Rfam family: Bacterial small subunit ribosomal RNA
Source: RNAcentral